UUGGUGGCUGUAUAUAUAUGACCCCCACCGUUUUUAAGGACUUCUGCUCGGCACAAAUGAGCGACUGAACCAUGGACAAAUGCAGUGGUUCACAGAGAAGAACGCUGGUCUGAAAUGCACUGUGUGAGGGGCAAUGUUCAAAACAUGCCCCCUGUAGGCACCCUGGCCUGAGUGUUCCAGUGCUGGAAGGUUUUAGGCUAGAGAUGCACUGAGGUAGGGAACUCAGACCGUCACACCCUCAGACAGUGUUUUCCCCAUGCUAUUUGAUAAGUUUCCAUGCCAAGAAUUCUUGAGCUUGCAUUGCUCUUUAAGGCUUGCCAGUAACCCUUCUAGUCGUGGAAAUAUCAAGAGAUGUGGAACACGGGUCUUUCAGAUUUUAAAGAAACUGCAUUCCUCUUCAUCGGAACAAAAUGUGACCAAGUUUAGCUGAGAUAGAAAAUAGUUUGAGAUGUUCUGAGCAAACUGAGUGCUGCUUUUUAGCACUGCAAAAUGUCAAGCUUGUAAUUCUUUUUAAGUUUGUAAUUUUAAUAGAAGCAAAGGAUACAAUUCUAAGAUUUUCCCACUGUUCCUGGAAUCCAGAACCAAUUCCAGCUGAGUUCCUUACUUUACUUCAUUGCAAAGGUUUCCUCUUCAUGCAUGCCCUUUGGAAAAAGAGCAAUUCCUGGUUUUCCUCAAGUUACCUUAUUAUUGCUCUGCCUUUCUCUGUCUCUACCUACCUCUCAACUCCCCUCUGCACGCCCUGAAUAAACUCUAUUCCAUAAUAAAAAAGAACUUACCUGAACUACCACGACUUAACACUGUGUCUCACUUUAUCAGUGUAUCUAUCCGUCUGCGAUAGAAACAUGACAUUUUACAGUGUAGGGAAGCUCACAGAACUGACGAUAACAGGUUUACAUGCACUCCAUCUCAGAUCCACCUGUCCUAGGAAGGCAACGUGCCCCGGAUUGCUGUACCCUUGUCUAUUCUGCUCCACUAGCUCCAGUUUACAAGAGAUUAGAUAAUGUCACUCACUUAGCUUUUGGUGCCACUGUAGUGACUCACUACAUUUCGCACUGAUAAUCCAAUCAUGAAACAGCUCCAAAAAUUAAAACAAAAACAAAAAGCAAAACAAUAACAACAACAGCAACAGCAACAACAAAGCCCAAGGAACAAAUCACGCAUUUACAAAGUAAAGUGACAUGGCAUAUAGUCUCAACCUUAGCCAGAGUUCACUGGGAGAGGUAGAAGUAGACACUGCUUCUAAAAUUAAGCGGGAGGAAACCAUAGCAGUCCUACCCUCAGGCCACAGCUGCCUCACUUCUAGCUCUAUUGCUAUUGAAGAAAUAGUGACUCCUCCAGAGGGGGCCAGAAGCCAUUUUUUUUUCAGGACUUGGAAGACAAUGGCCCGGGCGCCAUCUUCAUUGUUGAACUAACCACCAGUGUUAACACCUGAGGUAGCCAAAAGCCUGACAUCAGAGAACACCCACAGGUCAGAGAGCCUCAGCUCAUCCUGCCACAAUCCCCUGGUGAAAGACUCAGGGGUACUUUAGUCCAGAGCAAGAGGGUCGGGCGCUACUUAAGGAAACCGUGCAGAAGGCAGGGGUUGGGCUCAAACUGAGAAGGGUCUUAACAGAGAGAGUUUUGUCUUCUGCCGCUAAAACCAGCUCUUAUCAGCAGAAUUUCCUCACUGAGUUCGACAGCUCUGAACUUGAGGACAAGGGACCACUUCCAUUCUGAAGUUACCUAGGCGUGCUUCACUGCCGUAGACCCAAGAACUCUAAAGGUCCGGUACUGUAUAUGACUUCACAGUGGUAUCCUACAGAGGGGUGAUUGAUGACAUCUUGAAGGUAGGAUGUCCUUGAUUUUAUCUGUCUCUGUCCAGUGGUUGCCACCCAUACUCUCAAUGCAUUCGGAAGAUAACCUUUAGACGAACAGUCCCAACCAGUCCUCAUCUUCUCCAGAUGCCUGUGUUUGUGUUCAUUUGGAGAUAGGGUUUAACCAUAGAGGACAUGCUGGCCUUGAAGCCAUGAUUCUUCUGGCCCACUAAGGAGAUAACUGGUCUUAUACAUUCACCCUAUGCACAGACGUUUUAGAGACUGCCUGUGAGGCCUUGAAGAUAACUACUACCCAUGUCAUUGAACACAGAGAAACCAAACUUGUUCCUACCAGGAGUCUUCACCCUGUGGAUUAGUGUUCAUGGUACUGUAUGGUGAUCUGUGUGCUACCGAAGGAGAAACAUAAACACCAAUCCAGCUACAAACUCUCCUGUCUAACAUAGUGAACCACUUGCAAUCUGCGGUAGUGGGAUAGUGGCACAGGGCUUGUGGAACUUUUUGGUCGGAUUUGAGGCGCAUUGAAUUUGGUGGAACCCAACCCCAAGGCUUCACAGGUGGCAAGAACCUAAGAGCAGAGAGCUCAGGGAUCUAGGGGAAACCAAAGAAAUACAGCAAUAAAAUGUCUCCUAACAAUAUUCUUCUAUAUCCAUAGAUCAGUGUCUUUUUAGCCGUCAUUGGUGAGGUUUCUUCUUGCAGUAGAUAUCAAGUAAUAUGGAGACCCAGAGUUAGACAAAGUGAAGUGAGUGAGAGACCUUGAAACACCCAGUCCUAAAUAGCAUGUCUUUAUCAAUUCCCUCCCUCAGGGUUCAGGGAUCCCUGGGAUAGAAGAGCAAAGAGAUUGUAAGAGUCAGAUGGGAUGGAGGACAUAGGCAGCCAAGGCCUUCUAAAUACCGCAGCACUGGCACACAGAUGAACUCCCCAGAGAGUGUGGCAGCAUGCAUAGGUCUUGCACUGGUCUGGGCCUGAUGGCGUGCCAUCACUGAGAGGGGAAGCUGACACAAACUUCCAUCCCUAAUACAAAAGCUAUCUGGAGUUGAUAACCCUUCGAAAGUGAAAAAUUGUUCUCUAGUGGCAUCUCACUACAUACAUGAACCACACUGAAGGGCAGGCCUCAGGCCUAGUUGUAUGUGACCAACACGAAAUGAACUCACUAUCAUUGGAGUUUCUUUGUCUCAUAAUGAUUU
Molecule: small RNA, 2998 nt
Filed under: Rattus norvegicus (Norway rat)
Lineage: Eukaryota; Metazoa; Chordata; Mammalia; Rodentia; Muridae
Description: uncharacterized LOC108350105
Source: RNAcentral